This 305-nucleotide ribosomal RNA is filed under the name uncultured bacterium. RNAcentral describes it as "bacterial SSU rRNA". It matches the Rfam family "Bacterial small subunit ribosomal RNA", at positions 338 to 640 of the family's 1533-position model. The record is from RNAcentral.
CCUACGGGGGGCAGCAGUGAGGAAUAUUGGUCAAUGGCCGGAAGGCUGAACCAGCCAAGCCGCGUGAGGGAGGAAGGCGCAGAGCGUCGCAGACCUCUUUUGCCGGGGGACAAAAGGCCGGACUCGUCCGGUCCUGAGGGUACCCGGAGAAAAAGCAUCGGCUAACUCCGUGCCAGCAGCCGCGGUAAUACGUAGGUGGCAAGCGUUAUCCGGAUUUAUUGGGCGUAAAGGGAACGCAGGCGGUCUUUUAAGUCUGAUGUGAAAGCCUUCGGCUUAACCGGAGUAGUGCAUUGGAAACUGGGAGG